GAGACCUAUUGUCCUCCCCCCAGGCCCCCACCCCUGGAAAUCUCACGCUGUGUAAAAUGACACAGAGCACGGUGAUUGGAUGGCAGGGGUGGGGGCCUGGGGGGGGAGGACAGUAGGUCA
This is a non-coding RNA of Pelobates cultripes (western spadefoot toad), 120 nucleotides long. Lineage: Eukaryota; Metazoa; Chordata; Amphibia; Anura; Pelobatidae. The record is from the annotation of a GenBank genome assembly.